UACGUAGGGCGCAAGCGUUGUCCGGAAUUACUGGGCGUAAAGCGCACGUAGGCGGCUUUGUAAGUUAGAGGUGAAAGCCCGGGGCUCAACUCCGGAAUUGCCUUUAAGACUGCAUCGCUAGAAUUGUGGAGAGGUGAGUGGAAUUCCGAGUGUAGAGGUGAAAUUCGUAGAUAUUCGCAAGAACACCAGUGGCGAAGGCGGCUCACUGGCCCGAUACUGACGCUGAGGCACGAAAGCGUGGGGAGCAAACAGG
RNAcentral lists this ribosomal RNA (253 nucleotides) under uncultured bacterium. RNAcentral describes it as "partial 16S ribosomal RNA". It matches the Rfam family "Bacterial small subunit ribosomal RNA", at positions 524 to 776 of the family's 1533-position model. The record is from RNAcentral.